AGCUUUGUGCAGUGGCAGUAUCAUAGCCAAUGAGGUUUAUCCGAGGUGAGAUUACUGCUAAUUGAAAACUUAAAGUGUACAUCAUGGUGAUUUGAUAUAUGUGUACAUUAUGAAAGGACUGCUCCCACCUAAUUAAUUAACACAUACAUCAUCUCACAUAUUUAUUUAU
This 169-nucleotide small nuclear RNA is filed under the name Moschus moschiferus (Siberian musk deer). Its description in RNAcentral is "U4 spliceosomal RNA (ENSMMSG00000001767.1)". The stretch from base 1 to 117 matches the Rfam family "U4 spliceosomal RNA". From Rfam's summary of the family: U4 small nuclear RNA (U4 snRNA) is a component of the major U2-dependent spliceosome. The structure of U4 snRNA from yeast and human has been reported. Lineage: Eukaryota; Metazoa; Chordata; Mammalia; Artiodactyla; Moschidae. The record is from Rfam by way of RNAcentral.